GCCGGGCUUGGUAGCGCGCACCUGUAAUCCCAGCUACUCAGGAGGCUGAGGCAGGAGAAUUGCUUGAGCCCAGGAGGUGGAGGUUGCAGUGAGCCGAGAUUGUGCCACUGCACUCCAGCCUGGGCAACAAAACAAGACUCUGUCUCAA
RNAcentral lists this non-coding RNA (148 nucleotides) under Gorilla gorilla gorilla (western lowland gorilla). The record is from Rfam by way of RNAcentral. Lineage: Eukaryota; Metazoa; Chordata; Mammalia; Primates; Hominidae.